RNAcentral lists this non-coding RNA (30 nucleotides) under Mus musculus (house mouse). Lineage: Eukaryota; Metazoa; Chordata; Mammalia; Rodentia; Muridae. The record is from RNAcentral.
UAACACAUGCCGCAGUUUUGACUGCUUUAU